RNAcentral lists this ribosomal RNA (166 nucleotides) under uncultured bacterium. RNAcentral's name for it is "partial 16S rRNA". It matches the Rfam family "Bacterial small subunit ribosomal RNA", at positions 355 to 511 of the family's 1533-position model. The record is from RNAcentral.
UAGGGAAUCUUCGGCAAUGGACGAAAGUCUGACCGAGCAACGCCGCGUGAGUGAAGAAGGUUUUUCGGAUCGUAAAACUCUGUUGGUAGAGAAGAACGCUGGUGAGAGUGGAAAGCUCAUCAAGUGACGGUAACUACCCAGAAAGGGACGGCUAACUACGUGCCAA